This 308-nucleotide ribosomal RNA is filed under the name uncultured bacterium. RNAcentral describes it as "partial 16S ribosomal RNA". It matches the Rfam family "Bacterial small subunit ribosomal RNA", at positions 505 to 808 of the family's 1533-position model. The record is from RNAcentral.
GAGACAGCAGUAGCCGCGGGAAUACGGAGGGGGCAAGCGUUAUCCGGAAUUAUUGGGCGUAAAGGGUACGUAGGUGGCCUUUUAAGCGCAGGGUAUGAGGCAAUGGCUCAACCAUUGUUCGCCCUAUGAACUGGAAGGCUUGAGUGCAGGAGAGGAAAGCGGAAUUCCCAGUGUAGCGGUGGAAUGCAUAGAUAUUAGGAGGAACAUCAGCGGCGAAGGCGGCUUUCUGGACUGCAACUGACACUGAGGUACGAAAGCGUGGGGAGCGAACAGGAUUAGAUACCCGCGUAGUCCCUGUCUCUUAUACA